This 468-nucleotide ribosomal RNA is filed under the name uncultured bacterium. Its description in RNAcentral is "partial 16S ribosomal RNA". It matches the Rfam family "Bacterial small subunit ribosomal RNA", at positions 28 to 507 of the family's 1533-position model. The record is from RNAcentral.
GACGAACGCUGGCGGCGUGCUUAACACAUGCAAGUCGAACGGAAAGACCCUGCUUUUGUGGGGUGCUCGAGUGGCGAACGGGUGAGUAACACGUGAGUAACCUGCCCUUGACUUUGGGAUAACGUCAGGAAACUGGGGCUAAUACCGGAUAGGAGCUCCUGCUGCAUGGUGGGGGUUGGAAAGUUUCGGCGGUUGGGGAUGGACUCGCGGCUUAUCAGCUUGUUGGUGGGGUAGUGGCUUACCAAGGCUUUGACGGGUAGCCGGCCUGAGAGGGUGACCGGCCACAUUGGGACUGAGAUACGGCCCAGACUCCUACGGGAGGCAGCAGUGGGGAAUAUUGCACAAUGGGCGGAAGCCUGAUGCAGCAACGCCGCGUGCGGGAUGACGGCCUUCGGGUUGUAAACCGCUUUCGCCUGUGACGAAGCGUGAGUGACGGUAAUGGGUAAAGAAGCACCGGCUAACUACGUG